AUUUUCACAUUAACUGCAUUAGCUUAUUCUGCAUAAUACUUUGACGAGGAACUUUAAACCAAAACACCGUUUGUUCACUCAAAGGAUACGGACACGCCGACUCUAUACCAAUACCAAUGCACCUGUACAUACCGCCAUCAUAUAGUGGGGGAACUACGUCGAUAAAAAAAAAUUGCGGGAUGUCUCUUCUCGAACCGACUGCGCGUUGCUGCUGUUCAGUCAGCGGCGGCAAUACCAUCGAUCAUGAUACUUGUUUUAGUGGUUAUAAUAAAAUGCAUGCGUAAGCGCUUUCAUGUACUUUCCAGCACUAAAGAGCGUCGUGUGCUUUUUGGGGCAAUGGGUUUAUGUCAAUAAAUAAUUUCUUUCGGAGAAAUCUUUAUUAGAAGACAACCAAACUCAACCAAGACCAAAUCUUAAUCAAGUUUGGUCUGAAAGACAUAUAUACGUAUUAUGUAUGAAAGACGUAUGCAUAUACGAAUUUAUACAACAUUUUAUAGAGCAAAUUUUAAGGAAAAACUUGCUUCAAUAUAUAUUAUAAAUACAUAUAAACUGGAUCACAAAUUUUUUGUCCAUAAUCCAAUAAAAUCUGCCAAUUACUUUGCCCGAACUUUCAGCGAAUGCUCCAGGGACUUCAUGGCAGCCUGAUGAAUUUUCUUGUCCAGUUUGUCUGCCAACGAAAAUAAAAUUAAUAAAUAUAAAAUAGUAAUUUAUUAAUAUAUUUAUAAUCCAACUAUUUUAACUAUUAUCCACUUGAGUUUGAAAGAUUUUAGCAGAGGUGCUUUUUCCUUUUCUGUCUUAGCAUGAAAAUUUUUCUUACAUAUUUUGUGUUUUCCUUGGAUCGGGAAUUUAAGCGGUAGUUCGUAACAAUCCUGGCAAAUUAAUACAAAAGGACUGUCACUUUCACCUUCUGGGUACACGCGACGAUACUCUUCUUGAGGUAAAACAUCGGUCACGGUUACGCAGCCGAGCAAGCAGGAUGUCGGAUAAUUGCUCGGAAAUUUGAGGUUCUCUACACAAAUGAAUAUUGAAAUGAAGAAAACGAAAUUAAAGAAAUAUCUUCGGUGGAAGGAAUUUUGGAAGCUGCAGCAAUCCAAAGUCGUCCACGAUGCGAAGAGUACCAUGUUCUUCCCUCGUGCCUGUCAAAAAAUUCAAUUGAAGUUGUUUAUAAAAACGAACAUAAAUUGAUUGAAUUUAUGACAAAAGUCAUAGAUUUACAGUGAAAUUUUAAAAAUAUGGAAAAAAUCAAUAAAACUUUGUUAAGAUUUC
Venturia canescens is the source of this 1266-nucleotide long non-coding RNA. RefSeq lists it as uncharacterized. The record is from RefSeq and is a predicted model, not a curated record. Lineage: Eukaryota; Metazoa; Arthropoda; Insecta; Hymenoptera; Ichneumonidae. The transcript is spliced from 3 exons.